AAAAGAAAAAAGGAAAAAAAAAAACUUUGAUCAGAAGAAAUCUAGCAAGAGAAAAUGAUAAACAAUGAUACAGAUGAUCUAUGCGUUCACAGAACAACAUGGAUUUAAGUUGCAAAAUAAAUGAACCAUCCUAUCUGGCAAACUAAGGUUCUAAGAAGCGCAAGUCCAAAAACUCAAAUAUCCAACAUAACCGCUCCAACCAUGGAAGAAAAUCAAGGAAAAAAUAUUCUCAUCAAUCAUCAUCUAAUGUAAUAGAACUAAAACGCAAUAUAGUAUUGAAGGGGAAAAAUUGACUGAAGUUUUAGGAAUCAACUGUAGUAACCUGUUGCCACUCCCCAUCUACAGCUUCUUUCCAUAAAGUCACAUUGUUAUUCCCAUCAGCAACAGCCAAUCUGUUUCCAGUGGGCGACCAGGAG
This 416-nucleotide unclassified non-coding RNA is filed under the name Hevea brasiliensis (rubber tree). Lineage: Eukaryota; Viridiplantae; Streptophyta; Magnoliopsida; Malpighiales; Euphorbiaceae. The record is from RNAcentral.